AAAGAUACAACAUGGGUCAGAAUAAAAAGUCCCAUCUUGGUGGAGACUCAUAAGGUACCCUAAGAUCUUUAAUAUCAUAAUUCUCUCUCUCUCUUUUUUUUUUUUUUUUUUGAUUUUUAAAAUAACAGAAGAAAGUCAUUGGAGUACACAAUUAAAGAAAAAAAGAAAUUGAUGUGGCUUGGUUCCAAUAUAAAUUAGGGAAUAGAGAUUUACUCUAUAAAUGGGAAGAGAAAUAUACAAGAUCUGAUUAUCUAUUUAGCUUGCUUUCUCCCUGCUGCCUUUUCUGAGAAAACUGGUUAUUCAAGUAUUAUUACCUCAAGCAAUCCAAGGGCUAGCUCUCAAACUCAGUUGGGACUAAAGGACAAAGAGGGAUCUUGCCCUUUAGAAGUGGAAAAUAAACAGUAGUGAUGAUCAAGGCAGAUUUGCCUCAUGAAUGACAAGUGGCCACCUGAACCAUUGAUUCACUGUCAGUUAUAGUUGGAAAACACGGCCCUGGAUGUUCCCAACUGUACAGGCCUCCAUGUGUCUGUGUUCCCUAUGCUAUAAUCUAUUUCUCACAUGAUAGACAUUUGUGACAGGCUCUGCUUUGGUUUCUGGAAUUCUAAAUCUGGUGCAUGGUCUGUUUAGUAAGCAGACUAGAUUCUAGUGUACCUAAGGGUAUCUGAUACCUGGUUUAUGCAAAUUUUAAAAACCAGAUUUUUGUUUCUUUGUCUUUUUCCUUCUUCUGUUUCCUGAGAAACUUUCUUUCUUUCUUCUUUGUUAAAGGGGCUAUCUGGUCCAUUGGUGACUCUGGAAAGAAAUGUUUCUGUGCCCUAGCAUGGAUUCUUGCUCUAGCCAAUACAUUAAGCACUAACAAAAUGAGUCGUAAAAACAUUAUUGGGUAGAAAUCUAAUUCAAAAAGCUUUCAAAAUAUCAAAGGAGGCAUUCCUGAGUUGGUGGACAUAGUGCUCUUUGUCCUACUCAUUUAAGUGCUACAUUGGAUUAGAAAGCAAGUAAAUAGUUCUCUAAAAUAUAAUUUUCUUAAUUCUUUACAAUUUUUUUUUCAUUUGUAGGGUCUACUCUACUGAGUAGUUCUUAAAAUAGGAAAAUAUAUUAAAUUUGCAUAAAAGUCUCCUUUUUCAACCUUCUGCUUUCACUGGGCUUUUGUCUAUGCCUUUCUUAGUGAUAUUGAGAUUUUGUAUAUGUAAAAUUUCUACCUUGCUUCAACUGAAUUAUACCUUUGGAAGUACAGAUAUGAUAUUAAGGAUUGCUUGGGGCUAUGAUAAUCAUCAAUAAUCUAACUUUUUGAAAACUGGCAAAUGGUGAAUCUAAAUGCGAUCUAUAAAAUCUUUGUUUUGUCUUUUUACGUAAGUUUAUGUAUAUAUGUGUAUACUGUAUAUUAUGUGUACAUGGCACCAAAUUGGCUUAUAAACAAAGGAGCACUCAUAAAU
RNAcentral lists this long non-coding RNA (1430 nucleotides) under Marmota monax (woodchuck). Lineage: Eukaryota; Metazoa; Chordata; Mammalia; Rodentia; Sciuridae. The record is from RNAcentral.